UAUGUGAUCGUCUCUCGCAUAUCAAUAAGCGGAGGAAAAGAAACUAACAAGGAUUCCCCUAGUAACGGCGAGUGAAGCGGGAAGAGCUCAAAUUUGAAAUCUUAAAGGGUUUCCCUUUACGAAUUGUAGUUUAAAGAAGUGUUUUCUGUUGAGGUUUUGGUAAAAGUUCUUUGGAAUAGGACAUCAUAGAGGGUGAGAAUCCCGUAUUUGGACCUUUACUUUCAACUUUGUGAUACACUUUCAAAGAGUCGGAUUGUUUGGGAAUGCAGUCCAAAAUGGGUGGUAAAUUUCAUCUAAAGCUAAAUAUUGGCGAGAGACCGAUAGCGAACAAGUACCGUGAGGGAAAGAUGAAAAGAACUUUGAAAAGAGAGUUAAACAGUACGUGAAAUUGUCAAAAGGGAAGCGUUUGACACCAGUGUUGUUUUUCUGAAAAUCAAUUAAAGAACUGUUUAUGCUAAGCUGUUUAGACUUUAUCAGCUAAUCUGUUUAGUUUUGAGCUUUUCUUUAAUGCACUUUUCAGUUAACAAGUCAACAUCAAUUUCUUUUGCUGUAAAAAAGCUUGAGGAAGGUGGCUUGAGAUUCGUCUUAAGUGUUUAUAGCCUCUUGCCUAUGCAGUCGAAGAGAUUGAGGUCUGCAGCGUAGAUCCUUCGGGGCUAAAUGCAUUUGUGCUAAGUUAUAGCAUUUUAUAGACAACUUGUUGACUAUGAUUUGUCUUGUAGCUUACUCGCUUAUGUUAUUUUACCUACGCUUAGGAUGUUGAGCGCAUGUCUCUCUCU
Molecule: ribosomal RNA, 776 nt
Filed under: uncultured Neocallimastigales
Lineage: Eukaryota; Fungi; Neocallimastigomycota; Neocallimastigomycetes; Neocallimastigales
Description: partial large subunit ribosomal RNA
Rfam family: Eukaryotic large subunit ribosomal RNA
Source: RNAcentral